GGGUUUGGGGGUGCCAGCUGCAGGGUUUGGGGUGCCAGGGAGAUGGUUUGGGGUGCCAGCUGCAGGUUUGGGGUGCCAGCAGGAAGGUUUGGGGUGCCAGCUGCAGGGAUUGGGGUGCCAGCUGCAGGGUUUGGAGGUGCCAGCAGGAAGGUUUGGGGUGCCAGC
This is a long non-coding RNA of Oenanthe melanoleuca, 165 nucleotides long. RefSeq lists it as uncharacterized. The transcript has 3 exons. The record is from RefSeq and is a predicted model, not a curated record. Lineage: Eukaryota; Metazoa; Chordata; Aves; Passeriformes; Muscicapidae.